Molecule: non-coding RNA, 521 nt
Organism: Pipistrellus kuhlii (Kuhl's pipistrelle)
Lineage: Eukaryota; Metazoa; Chordata; Mammalia; Chiroptera; Vespertilionidae
Source: the annotation of a RefSeq genome assembly
GCGGGGGAGAAAAGGAGGCCUGGGCAGCCCAGCCCCACUGUGGGCUCAGGGCUGUGAGCACCAUGGCCUGGACUCCUCUGCUCCUGGCGCUCCUCUCUCACUGCACAGGGUCCCUCUCCCAGCCUGUGCUGACCCAGCCGCCCUCCCUCUCUGCAUCUCCGGGAGCCACAGCCACACUAACCUGCACGCUGAGCAGCGGGUUCGAUGUAGACAAUUAUGGUAUAUCCUGGUACCAGCAGAAGCCAGGGAGCCCACCCAGGUAUCUCCUGUUCUAUAUGUCAGACUUGGUUACGGACCAGGGCUCCGGGGUCCCCAGCCGCUUCUCUGGAUCUCCAGACGCCUCGGCCAAUGCGGGGCUCCUGACCAUCUCGGGGCUGCAGCCUGAGGAUGAGGCUGACUAUUACUGUGCUAGCGAUGUUGGCAGUGGGAGCAGCUACCGUUACCCACAGUGUCUCAGAGGCCGAGGAAGUGAGACCAAAACCCUGGCCCCGAGGUGGUGGCUCUGAGCCUCCUUCAGCGAG